Molecule: ribosomal RNA, 402 nt
Filed under: uncultured bacterium
Lineage: Bacteria
Description: partial 16S ribosomal RNA
Rfam family: Bacterial small subunit ribosomal RNA
Source: RNAcentral
UGGGGAAUCUUAGACAAUGGGGGCAACCCUGAUCUAGCCAUGCCGCGUGAGUGAUGAAGGCCUUAGGGUUGUAAAGCUCUUUCAGCUGGGAAGAUAAUGACGGUACCAGCAGAAGAAGCCCCGGCUAACUCCGUGCCAGCAGCCGCGGUAAUACGGAGGGGGCUAGCGUUGUUCGGAAUUACUGGGCGUAAAGCGCACGUAGGCGGACUGGAAAGUUGGGGGUGAAAUCCCGGGGCUCAACCUCGGAACUGCCUUCAAAACUAUCAGUCUGGAGUUCGAGAGAGGGGAGUGGAAUUCCGAGUGUAGAGGUGAAAUUCGUAGAUAUUCGGAGGAACACCAGUGGCGAAGGCGGCUCACUGGCUCGAUACUGACGCUGAGGUGCGAAAGCGUGUGGAGCAAACA